UAAGAAAACAAAACGUUCCUGAAGGUAGC
RNAcentral lists this small RNA (29 nucleotides) under Bombyx mori (domestic silkworm). RNAcentral describes it as "ovarian small RNA-19083". The record is from RNAcentral. Lineage: Eukaryota; Metazoa; Arthropoda; Insecta; Lepidoptera; Bombycidae.